This is a long non-coding RNA of Ochotona princeps (American pika), 925 nucleotides long. RefSeq lists it as uncharacterized. The transcript is spliced from 4 exons. The record is from RefSeq and is a predicted model, not a curated record. Lineage: Eukaryota; Metazoa; Chordata; Mammalia; Lagomorpha; Ochotonidae.
CACCCGUCAGCGCCGGCCAAUCUAACGUAACUUCGCGAGAUCCGGGCAGGGAGGCGCCCUUCGGCCGGUGCGCAUGCGCCCUGGGCCUGCGCCCGCCCCAGGAAGAGCGCUCCCGCGAACCGCGGCGGGGGCGGCCCGGUGACCGGAGGGAAGCGGGUGUGGCCCGGGCCUCCCGGCCAGAGGGGGGUUGGGGCCGACCUGGCAGCGAGGAUGCGGGGAGGGGAGGUAGCGGCGGCCGGCUGAGGACUCCUGAGGCUCCGGGGAGUCCUUUGGCCGGGCUACAAAGCUCUCCUGGGCAGACCUGCCUUCCGCUCUGCCGAGUCGUUUGCUCAGGGCGGAGGGUUUUCCUAUUGGCUGCGUUAUUUGAAUGGAAUGGAGGACAGGUCGUGAGUUAGGUGCUUGGGGUUGCUCUCUCUGAGGAACUCGGAUGAACUUGAACAUGUCAGUGUUCCUAACGACCUUUUUCAGCGUGUGGCGUGUGUCGCCGAGGGCUUCAGGAACGUUUGCUGAGGUGCCCACCCUAUUGACAAGGGGUUGAGCAGCUGUAAUUGCUGUGGCUUCCUGCCAGUCCCCGCUGUAGAAACUUCCUCCUGUACGCUGGCUAGGCAGACAAACAGAUUAAGGGACAGCAAGAAUUCUUUCAUCCACUGGUUCAGCCCCCACAUGCCCGAGACCAAGUAUUUGAGACAUCAUCUGCUUGCCCAGGUUGUGCAGGUACAGGAAGCUGGAUCAGAAACAGAGUAGCAGGGACUCCAACCAGGUGUCUACAUUUCAUAGAGACAGAAAAAUAUUCAAGAGAAGGAUAUUGAUAAAAUGACCAACUGCUAACUGGAGAAGAAGAAAAUUACUCCCCAAAUACCAACGUUUAGAUUUCAGAGCAGGACUGGAAAUGGAACAGCUGGGACACGAACUGGCACCUCUAUGG